This 200-nucleotide ribosomal RNA is filed under the name Stumpffia bishopi. RNAcentral's name for it is "partial large subunit ribosomal RNA". Lineage: Eukaryota; Metazoa; Chordata; Amphibia; Anura; Microhylidae. The record is from RNAcentral.
UAAACUAACAUCACCUCUCUAUAAUGGGAUCCCAUGACUGCUAGUCUUUCGGCUGGGGCGACCACGGAGAAUAAUAAAACCCCCGAGAUGAAAGGAAAUAUCCUUAUCCUAGAACUACUAUUCUAAGAAUCAACAAAUGACAUUAUUGACCCAAUACUUGAUCAACGAACCAAGCUACCCUGGGGAUAACAGCGCAAUCC